CAGCGUUUUUCCAUAUUGCUCUUAAUCUACAGUAGCUGCAGUAUCCAAUAAACGACAUAAAAUACACAAAAAUAUACACAAAAAUAACUGCAUCUAUCAUGCCAGACAGCCACCAAAAACAUGUUGAGGACAUAUUUGAUUAUCUAGUGCAUGAACAUGUGUUUCUGAAGCGAAAGGAAACAUAGCCUUUUUGUAUCAUUUUUUUUAAACCUCAAAUAUCAAAGAAACAACAUUUCAAAGCUUUUUCGAUCCACAUAAACCCAUUGGAAAAAAAAUAUUGCGUGAAGUUGGUGUUUUUGUCCUAUCAAGUGGACAUUUAGAAGGGCUUGUGACGUCACACGGCUGCUUGCUCAGCGGGAAGAGAAAAAGCGUGCAAAAGGAAGGCGACGGUCAUGGCCACAACACAGGCCAGUAGAAGUUUACUUUGCGGAUUCCCGAGGCCACAAAAGCUGCAAAAAUUACGGCCUAACAAUUGACUUGUCAAUAUUCCUUCCACCCCUAAAAUGAGACGGUGCAAAUAGACUUAUCUGGCAUGAAAAUUGUUGAGAAAAUCAGAAUUUUGCACCUUUCGAACCUUAGGCAAUUUGAACAAGCUGCUACGUCGGAGCCAACGAGUUACACAAAGUCUUGUAGCUAGGCACAGAAAAAUCGAUAGCGAAUCUAAGAGCAAUAUGGGGUGUGAAAGGGUUUUAGAGAGAAAUAAGUCUAUCAAGAAGGCAAAGUCGUCGAGAAAAUGGCAAGGUAUUUGUCUCGUUUUGUUCAGUUUUGAUCGCUUACACGUGCACUCGUUGGGGUAGCGUCAUUGUUCUCAAGUCAUUUACUUGUUGCUGUUCUUAUAAUUCGUAUUCAAUUGAGCUUUAUGAAUUAUCUCUAGUAGAGGGUCUUAACAUGACUAUCAAUUCUAGCUAAAGAUAUUAUGGAUAAUUAUAGAAAUCUGAGCUGAAGGGUCGUUUACAGUGUUUUGGUCGAUUGACAUAAUCCGCUGUAGAGUGGAACCUACACGAUCAGGUUUAGACAAGGUGAGAAUCAAACACACCAAAAUAAUAAUCCCCUCGAAGCGUUCUGGCGCCAUUAGAGUAGCAAAACAUGCUGAUGGGGCGAAAAAUUCAUGAUUUCAUUGAACUGAUGAAGCCCAGCGUAAUCAUUGAGAAAUUAGAAGCGAGGAGGUUAAAUAUUCCUAGGAGUGAUUUUAUUCCAUAUCCUGCCAGAAGCAGGGUAUUUUAAUACAAAUUGUUGUUUGUUCUAUUGUUAUUCUGGGGUUAAAUUUAUGUAGGGUACAAAAGAGAGGAUUUUUUUUGUGUGUAUUCACUGACAGAAAACCAUACAAUCUGAUGAUACCAAACAGACCCUUAUCUUCUACCAUAAAUGAUCUAUAAUAUCAAUACAGCCAUCCUAUAAAAAACGUGCAAUUCCAUUGUUUUUAUUUGAAAGGUAGGAGCCCUGAUAAUUCGAACUAUAGGAUUUGGAUGAUAAUUUCAGUCAUGAAGCAUCAUUGAUUCCUAGUAUUUUGUGGUGUGUGUGGGGGGGGGGACAUUUUUUCAUGUAUGUCCAUUUGGCUAAACAGGGGGGAAAAGUUUCCUCCCCCUUGUUCUAAGCUAUAGCCCUGCUGCUAAAUCAAACUGUUUUUAUUAUAUUUCACCUUCAGAGUUAGAAGGGGAAUGUGCAUCUACCCAGGUGACUACACAAAGAAGUUUGUUUUUCCACUUAGGGCUACAAAUAGGGGGAUCAAGUGUUUCCGGGGUGGCUAGUAUGAGGAUUUCAUGGAAAGGAGAUCCAAUGUCUUUUUUUAUGUUUUCAUACAAAAUCUCAGAGAUUAGGGGACCACAGCGGUCCACCCCAAGGUCCACCAUAGAUGGAGAAAGAAGGCUAUAGAGAGUUACCUAGCCUUACCUUGCUAGUCCACCAUGGCUAAGCUUGCUGUCAUAUGCUAGGUGAAAAAAGACUAUAAUCCAUCAUGUUGACCCUCGCCCUCAACUUUUUAUAGUACAGUAUGCAAAUAAUUUCUUCUCCUGUAUCUAUACUAUUAGCAAUGUCUUUUUAAUAAAGCCAUUGCCCCCUUCACAAGAUUGAAGUUAGAAGCUAACGAAGUGCAACCAAGGGAUAAGUUUCAAAUACCCAUAAGUGCCAUGUACAGUCAUCAGCAAUGG
Molecule: long non-coding RNA, 2147 nt
Organism: Nematostella vectensis (starlet sea anemone)
Lineage: Eukaryota; Metazoa; Cnidaria; Anthozoa; Actiniaria; Edwardsiidae
Exons: 2
Source: RefSeq, a predicted model, not a curated record